Molecule: long non-coding RNA, 1878 nt
Organism: Gadus macrocephalus (Pacific cod)
Lineage: Eukaryota; Metazoa; Chordata; Actinopteri; Gadiformes; Gadidae
Exons: 2
Source: RefSeq, a predicted model, not a curated record
CUUGUAUACAUAUUUUAUCAUUGUCGAUUCUUGGAAUAUCCCCUUACUUUAGAAAGACAUGCCUGUCCUCAGAAAAUGGUGGUGCACAGUACUGCUUGAGAACUUCCACCUGGAUGGGGACGGCAGAAGGUUCCCACACUUCAUGGAGGAGGCCAAACAAAUGGCGGCUGAACUACCUCCAACAGUCUUCAGACUGAAGUGAAAAAGAGAAGUGAAUGACGUUUCCAAUGACAGAAUACAAAUAAUAUAUUGUAUAGGCUUAAUAUUGAUUUGACUGUUUGAUUAUUUUGACAGUGAGUUGGAGCUGAUGGCAGUCAGCAUGAAGAAGCUAUAUCUUUAAGAUUCUGUAGAUUAUUUGUUAAAUAAAUUGUGAGGAAACUUUGGUGUGGUUAUUCGUCAAUGUAUAUUUAUAUCAAAUUAUGAUGGUAUACUUUACAAAAUAAUAAAUUUGAUUGACAUGUCAUAAUAUUGUUUUAUUCUAAUUUUUUGGUCUAAUAGGUUUAAUAACGCAAAGAAAAAAUCCUGAGGUAUUUGUCUUAAUAACGUUAAACCUUUUUUAAGCUCUAAAAAUGGUUACUAACGUGUCGAAAUAUUCUUUAUUUCUAUGUUAUGUUAAUUCAAGCGAUAAAUAAUUUAUUUGUCUAUAAAAAAAUUAAUCGGAGGUAACUUCCGUCCAGCCACAGUACUUCCGUCCCGCCUGGGUGUUCUGUCACGCCAGGGUGUUGUUCUCCGGGGCUGCAGCUGGAUACUAUUGGUUGUUCUCCGCUGGACCCUACUCAAAGAUCCCGCACGGAUGAGCCCCUUCCCACCUGCAGGACUUCAUUAUUCCGUUUCGUCCUCCUCGACCCCUCCGUCCAUCAACACCGUGUCUUCUUUCAAUCCCCCUUUAUCCAUAUCCAAAGCCGAAACUCAUUGCAAACAUUUUGUUCAUCCGUUUGUCCGAGGAAAUACAACACCAGCAACUCUCACGACCAGUGGCGGUGGGUCAAUAGGGGGCGCUAGGGCGCCGCCCCUCCGUGAAAUAUUCACUUGAAUAUAUCUGCCAACUAUUAAUAAACUAUUAUCAUUACGAAAUAAAAUCAACAAAAAUAAAUAGCGUUUAUCCUCGAUUAAUUGUGUGACAUGCUUGUCACUGCCAGCAACCAUUUAAAUGCGUCUGAACGUCAAUGUUUGGGCUGGGUUAGUUAUUGGUCAUUCAAAAUAAAGCCCUGCUCCUCCAAGUCAGGAGCGCCGGCCACGGUGAAGUCAAUGUAAGCUCGCUAACUUUUUGCUGUCUAUCAAGCAGAGACAGCUUUUCAUUGCCGCAAGAAAAUUCGCCCUCGGGUCGCACCAGUGUGCGCCCCAGGCCAAUUGGUAUCGCUUUUCUUUUUUGUUAUCACCACAUGAUUGGACAAUUCAGCGAAUCAAUCAAAUAGGCUACCUCCCUCAGCAGCAUUCGCGCAACACAACUACAUGUAGAGAGGAGAUAGACCGCUAACUAGCAGAGAGUUGUAAGCACUUUCUACCCUUUUCAGUGGAGGAAUUGGACUCCCCAAGCAAUGUUAUAAUUGAAAGGAGCAAGUAAGUUACAUAUUAAUUUAGUCUUUCGGCCUGCAUAUAAACAAAAUGAAGCAACUGUCCCAUAUUUCUAACUGCAUUUGAAGUAGACAUUGAGGGUGCACUCACACUAGGCCAUCUGGCCGUGGUCGUUUUCACACCUAACCGUGCUCAACUGGCCCCAUUGUUCUCUGGCCUGCACUCACGUGACACUAGGCCGUCUGGCCGUGGCCGUUGGCCGUCGCAACUGUGGCUUCUUCUUCCUUUAAUUUCCGGCAGGCUGUAUGCCUUUGCGGCACAUUGCUGCCAUCCAAAGGACAAAAAAUAAAAACAAAAACAAAA